GGGAAUUUUAGUCUCCGCUGACGAGAGCAAUGCCUGCUGGGAGUUGUAGUGCUGCCGCCUUCCCUGGGCGGGCGGCAGACCGGGCUGGGGCUGGCCGUGUCGGGAGGGCUCUGUCGACACUAUCAUACAGCGGUACAACCGGGGCUUUGUGCCCGCCUUCAUCUUUGGGGUGCAGGUCCAGCCCGGCUCUGACCCGCCCUCACGCUGCUGCAGCAUCUGGCCUGUGGUGAACUUCUUGACCUACAGCCAGGCGAGGCACUGGAGGGAGAAAGGUCUGUGUAAAUAGCUGGUUAAAGCACAAAACACAGGUGUAAAACUCAUGUUGGACUAGAAUAUGGUUUUAUACCCUACUUUUAUUGCGAGGAACUCAUUUAAGAGCCGCAUUCUAUCUUUGUGACUGCCUGUUUACUCACCAUGGUGUAUGGACUACAGUGAAUUUUGGGUGGACUUUCUGGAUUCCUCCUGCAGGCCGAGACCAGGAUUUCUGCAAGAAAUGAGACACAGGAAAGCAGACGAAAGGGUGCAGCAUGUGCACUAAGGUAGCACAGUCCAUCAGGGCGCGGCACAUGCGGGAACCUUGUCUCCACUUCUCGAGAAAGGCCAAGUCAAUUGACAAAAAGCCAAGGAACAAUCAUGUACAUUAAGGCUGCCUCAGGAGAAUAUUAACUGUUAAUACACUUGUCACCAAGCAUUGCAAGACCAUCUUCAAAUAUUGCCUAUGCAGGGUAUUGAACAGGAAUCACAGCUCCCUGGAUAUAAUGCAAAGGCACAGCGAAAUGCCUACAGAGAAGUCAGUCAAAUGAUGUUAUAAUCAGGAUUGUUGGACAGUUUCAUUACAUACAUUUACUUUUGUUCUCUAUCAACUUGUUUUCAAUGCGAGUUUUGAAUGACCAGUCAUGAUGGGGGGACUUUCUUCUCAAGAGAAGUGGAAGUCUGUUGGCUAUUUCUUUGCAAGUCACAAGGCAUGGACAGAGUGUCUAGGUACUUUCAUAGCUUCUGUCUCCUGAACAGCUCAGUGAAAUCUAUUUGAAUAUAAGAACAUCCUGAACAGAUCAUCAAAUCCAGCAUCCUCUCACUAACAGUAAUAAGUAUUAGAAGUUCGUCUAAAGAAUGUAAGAACUGGUGAAUGUGGAUGGAUCAACCCCCAGGACAAGACCUGCCCUCCUUCCUCACCCAUCAGAAGUGAGCCCUGUGAAGCGUUACUCGUGUUAGUAGAUUUGCUGACUGUAAUGGAUUGCUAAAGUUUGGACGAACUGGGCCUCGAUGGGAGCAGUGGAACAUUCCAUGGAAAAUCUGAUGCGCUCUAAGGAAUGUCAAUUCCCAUCACUGUAAUUUCUCUCUGUAUAAAAUUCUCUCAAGUGCUCUGUUUUUCUUUAUGCAUCUGCUUCUUUGGAAAAUGACCUGCAUUUCAAAGAUCAGGUAGGAUUUGAAGAGAGCUGUAGAGGCAUUAAGUAGUAUAAUGGA
This is a long non-coding RNA of Grus americana (Whooping crane), 1464 nucleotides long. RefSeq lists it as uncharacterized. The record is from RefSeq and is a predicted model, not a curated record. The transcript is spliced from 3 exons. Lineage: Eukaryota; Metazoa; Chordata; Aves; Gruiformes; Gruidae.